This 1278-nucleotide ribosomal RNA is filed under the name Pseudarthrobacter polychromogenes. RNAcentral describes it as "bacterial SSU rRNA". It matches the Rfam family "Bacterial small subunit ribosomal RNA", at positions 56 to 1316 of the family's 1533-position model. The record is from RNAcentral. Lineage: Bacteria; Bacillati; Actinomycetota; Actinomycetes; Micrococcales; Micrococcaceae.
UGCAAGUCGAACGAUGAAGGGGAGCUUGCUCCUGGAUUAGUGGCGAACGGGUGAGUAACACGUGAGUAACCUGCCCUUAACUCUGGGAUAAGCCUGGGAAACUGGGUCUAAUACCGGAUAUGACUCCUCAUCGCAUGGUGGGGGGUGGAAAGCUUUAUUGUGGUUUUGGAUGGACUCGCGGCCUAUCAGCUUGUUGGUGAGGUAAUGGCUUACCAAGGCGACGACGGGUAGCCGGCCUGAGAGGGUGACCGGCCACACUGGGACUGAGACACGGCCCAGACUCCUACGGGAGGCAGCAGUGGGGAAUAUUGCACAAUGGGCGCAAGCCUGAUGCAGCGACGCCGCGUGAGGGAUGACGGCCUUCGGGUUGUAAACCUCUUUCAGUAGGGAAGAAGCGAAAGUGACGGUACCUGCAGAAGAAGCGCCGGCUAACUACGUGCCAGCAGCCGCGGUAAUACGUAGGGCGCAAGCGUUAUCCGGAAUUAUUGGGCGUAAAGAGCUCGUAGGCGGUUUGUCGCGUCUGCCGUGAAAGUCCGGGGCUCAACUCCGGAUCUGCGGUGGGUACGGGCAGACUAGAGUGAUGUAGGGGAGACUGGAAUUCCUGGUGUAGCGGUGAAAUGCGCAGAUAUCAGGAGGAACACCGAUGGCGAAGGCAGGUCUCUGGGCAUUAACUGACGCUGAGGAGCGAAAGCAUGGGGAGCGAACAGGAUUAGAUACCCUGGUAGUCCAUGCCGUAAACGUUGGGCACUAGGUUGUGGGGGGACAUUCCACGUUUUCCGCGCCGUAGCUAACGCAUUAAGUGCCCCGCCUGGGGGAGUACGGCCGCAAGGCUAAAACUCAAAGGAAUUGACGGGGGCCCGCACAAGCGGCGGAGCAUGCGGGAUUAAUUCGAUGCAACGCGAAGAACCUUACCAAGGCUUGACAUGAACCGGUAAUACCUGGGAGACAGGUGCCCCGCUUUGCGGUCGGUUUUACAGGUGGUGGCAUGGGUUGUCGUCAGCUCGUGUCGUGAGAAUGUUGGGGUUAAGUCCCCGCAACGAAGCGCAACCCUUCGUUCUAAUGUUGCCAGCACGGUGAUGGUUGGGGACUCAUAAGGAGACUGCCGGGGUCAACUCGGAAAGGGAAGGUGGGGGACGAACGUCAAAUCAUCAUGCCCCUUUAAUGUCUUGGGGCUUCACGCCAUGCUACAAUGGGCCCGGUACAAAGGGUUGCGAUACUGUGAGGUGGAGCUAAUCCCAAAUAGCCGGUCUCAGUUCGGAUUGGGGUCUGCAACUCGAC